RNAcentral lists this ribosomal RNA (410 nucleotides) under uncultured bacterium. RNAcentral describes it as "bacterial SSU rRNA". It matches the Rfam family "Bacterial small subunit ribosomal RNA", at positions 354 to 776 of the family's 1533-position model. RNAcentral also lists the same sequence under 1 other name. The record is from RNAcentral.
GUGGGGAAUAUUGCACAAUGGGCGGAAGCCUGAUGCAGCAACGCCGCGUGCGGGAUGACGGCCUUCGGGUUGUAAACCGCUUUCGCCUGUGACGAAGCGUGAGUGACGGUAAUGGGUAAAGAAGCACCGGCUAACUACGUGCCAGCAGCCGCGGUGAUACGUAGGGUGCGAGCGUUGUCCGGAUUUAUUGGGCGUAAAGGGCUCGUAGGUGGUUGAUCGCGUCGGAAGUGUAAUCUUGGGGCUUAACCCUGAGCGUGCUUUCGAUACGGGUUGACUUGAGGAAGGUAGGGGAGAAUGGAAUUCCUGGUGGAGCGGUGGAAUGCGCAGAUAUCAGGAGGAACACCAGUGGCGAAGGCGGUUCUCUGGGCCUUUCCUGACGCUGAGGAGCGAAAGCGUGGGGAGCGAACAGG